CCUACGGGGGGCAGCAGUAGGGAAUUUUCCGCAAUGGGCGAAAGCCUGACGGAGCAAUACCGCGUGAGGGAUGACGGCCUAUGGGUUGUAAACCUCUUUUUUCAGGGAGGAAUAAAUGACGUGUACCUGAAGAAUAAGCAUCGGCUAACUCCGUGCCAGCAGCCGCGGUAAGACGGAGGAUGCAAGUGUUAUCCGGAAUCACUGGGCGUAAAGCGUCUGUAGGUGGUCAAAUAAGUCAACUGUUAAAUCUUGAGGCUCAACCUCAAAACCGCAGUCGAAACUAUUAGACUAGAGUAUAGUAGGGGUAAAGGGAAUUUCCAGUGGAGCGGUGAAAUGCGUAGAUAUUGGAAGGAACACCGAUGGCGAAGGCACUUUACUGGGCUAUUACUAACACUCAGAGACGAAAGCUAGGGUAGCAAAUGGGAUUAGAUACCCGGGUAGUC
Molecule: ribosomal RNA, 443 nt
Filed under: uncultured bacterium
Lineage: Bacteria
Description: bacterial SSU rRNA
Rfam family: Bacterial small subunit ribosomal RNA
Source: RNAcentral